CACAGAGAAGGGUGGAAAGCCUGACGAAACUAUCGCCUAUGUUCAAUCUCUUCAACCACAAGUAGAGUUCUUGCAUGUCCUAUUAAAGAACCCAGCUUAUGUGAAUCCCCGAGUUGAGUACAACAUCUUUAACAAACAGGAAAUUACUCAAAUCAGAAACCAAAAUGCUAAUUUUGAGCCUACUCUUAAUCAAGACAAUGAAAUUGUG
Long non-coding RNA from Pistacia vera, 208 nucleotides. RefSeq lists it as uncharacterized. NCBI's taxonomy places the organism in Eukaryota, Viridiplantae, Streptophyta, Magnoliopsida, Sapindales, Anacardiaceae. The transcript has 3 exons. The record is from RefSeq and is a predicted model, not a curated record.